RNAcentral lists this ribosomal RNA (468 nucleotides) under uncultured bacterium. Its description in RNAcentral is "partial 16S ribosomal RNA". It matches the Rfam family "Bacterial small subunit ribosomal RNA", at positions 28 to 507 of the family's 1533-position model. The record is from RNAcentral.
GACGAACGCUGGCGGCGGGCUUAACACAUGCCAGUCGAACGGAAAGGCCCUGCUUUCGUGGGGUGCUCGAGGGCCGAAUGGGGGAGUAACACGUGAGUAACCUGCCCUUGACUUUCGGAUAACUUCAGGAAACUGGGGCUACUCCCGUAUAGGAUCUCCUGCUGCAUGGUGGGGGUUGGAAAGUUUCGGCGGUUGUGGAUGGACGCGCGGCUUAUCAGCUUGUUGGUUGGGGAGUGGCUUACCAAGGCUUUGACGGAUAGCCGGCAUGAGAGGGUGACCGGCCACAUUAGGACUGAGAUACGGACCAGACUCCUACGGGAGGCAGCAGUGGGGAAUAUUGCCCAAUGGGCGGACGCCUGAUGCAGCAACGCCGCGUGCGGAAUGACGGCCUUCGGGUUGUAAACCGCUUUAGCCUGUGACGAAGCGUGAGUGACGGUAACGGGUAAAGAAGCACCGGCUAACUACGUG